AGUGAACGCUGGCGGUAGGCCUAACACAUGCAAGUCGAACGGCAGCACAGUAAGAGCUUGCUCUUACGGGUGGCGAGUGGCGGACGGGUGAGGAAUACAUCGGAAUCUACUUUUUCGUGGGGGAUAACGUAGGGAAACUUACGCUAAUACCGCAUACGACCUACGGGUGAAAGCAGGGGAUCUUCGGACCUUGCGCGAUUGAAUGAGCCGAUGUCGGAUUAGCUAGUUGGCGGGGUAAAGGCCCACCAAGGCGACGAUCCGUAGCUGGUCUGAGAGGAUGAGCAGCCACACUGGAACUGAGACACGGUCCAGACUCCUACGGGAGGCAGCAGUGGGGAAUAUUGGACAAUGGGCGCAAGCCUGAUCCAGCCAUACCGCGUGGGUGAAGAAGGCCUUCGGGUUGUAAAGCCCUUUUGUUGGGAAAGAAAAGCAGCAGGUUAAUACCCCGCUGUUCUGACGGUACCCAAAGAAUAAGCACCGGCUGACUUCGUG
This 492-nucleotide ribosomal RNA is filed under the name uncultured bacterium. Its description in RNAcentral is "partial 16S ribosomal RNA". It matches the Rfam family "Bacterial small subunit ribosomal RNA", at positions 29 to 507 of the family's 1533-position model. The record is from RNAcentral.